GCAUGGGUGGCUCAGUCAGUUGAGCAUCCGACUUCAGCUCAGGUCAUGAUCUCAGUUUGUGGGUUCAAACCCCGCAUCAGGCU
RNAcentral lists this transfer RNA (83 nucleotides) under Felis catus (domestic cat). It matches the Rfam family "tRNA". From Rfam's summary of the family: Transfer RNA (tRNA) molecules are approximately 80 nucleotides in length. The record is from Rfam by way of RNAcentral. RNAcentral also lists the same sequence under 2 other names. Lineage: Eukaryota; Metazoa; Chordata; Mammalia; Carnivora; Felidae.